Molecule: ribosomal RNA, 585 nt
Filed under: Bacillus amyloliquefaciens
Lineage: Bacteria; Bacillati; Bacillota; Bacilli; Caryophanales; Bacillaceae
Description: bacterial SSU rRNA
Rfam family: Bacterial small subunit ribosomal RNA
Source: RNAcentral
UUGUUUGAACCGCAUGGUUCAGACAUAAAAGGUGGCUUCGGCUACCACUUACAGAUGGACCCGCGGCGCAUUAGCUAGUUGGUGAGGUAACGGCUCACCAAGGCGACGAUGCGUAGCCGACCUGAGAGGGUGAUCGGCCACACUGGGACUGAGACACGGCCCAGACUCCUACGGGAGGCAGCAGUAGGGAAUCUUCCGCAAUGGACGAAAGUCUGACGGAGCAACGCCGCGUGAGUGAUGAAGGUUUUCGGAUCGUAAAGCUCUGUUGUUAGGGAAGAACAAGUGCCGUUCAAAUAGGGCGGCACCUUGACGGUACCUAACCAGAAAGCCACGGCUAACUACGUGCCAGCAGCCGCGGUAAUACGUAGGUGGCAAGCGUUGUCCGGAAUUAUUGGGCGUAAAGGGCUCGCAGGCGGUUUCUUAAGUCUGAUGUGAAAGCCCCCGGCUCAACCGGGGAGGGUCAUUGGAAACUGGGGAACUUGAGUGCAGAAGAGGAGAGUGGAAUUCCACGUGUAGCGGUGAAAUGCGUAGAGAUGUGGAGGAACACCAGUGGCGAAGGCGACUCUCUGGUCUGUAACUGACGCU